GUACUCUCAUUGGCAGCCCAUAUGCUAAAAUUGGAAUGAUACAGAGUAGACAGGCAUGGCCCCUGUGCAAGGAUGCCACACAAAUUUGUGAAGUAUUUGUGAAGAAUAUUUUU
Molecule: small nuclear RNA, 113 nt
Filed under: Jaculus jaculus (lesser Egyptian jerboa)
Lineage: Eukaryota; Metazoa; Chordata; Mammalia; Rodentia; Dipodidae
Source: RNAcentral